Molecule: ribosomal RNA, 1287 nt
Filed under: metagenome
Description: bacterial SSU rRNA
Rfam family: Bacterial small subunit ribosomal RNA
Source: RNAcentral
UUCUACGGGUGAGUAAAGGAUGUAACUAUUCGCCGAGAGAGGAGCCUGCGUCCUAUCAGCUUGUUGGUGGGGUAAUGGCCUACCAAGGCAGUGACGGGUAGCCGGUGUGAGAGCACGAUCGGCCACAAGGUAACUGAGACACGGUGCCUACACCUACGGGUGGCAGCAACUGGGAAUCUUGCGCAAUGGACGAAAGUCUGACGCAGCGACACCGCGUGUGGGAUGAAGCAUUUCGGUGUGUAAACCACUGUGGCGAGGGAGAAAGAUCUGAUAGUACCUCGCUAGAAAGCACCUGCUAACUACGUGCCAGAAGCCUCGGCAAUACGUAGGGUGCAAGCGUUAUCCGGAUUUACUGGGCGUAAAGGGUUUCGCAGGCGGAUUGUUAAGUCAUGUUUGAAAGCUAACGGCUCAACCGUUUAGUUGGACAUGAUACUGGCAAUCUUGAGGACAUCAGGGGAGACUGGAAUUCUCGGUGGAGGGGUGAAAUCCGUUGAUAUCGAGAGGAACGCCAAUGGCGAAGGCAGGUCUCUGGGGUGUUCCUGACGCUCAGGUACGAAAGCUAGGGUAGCAAACGGGAUUAGAGACCCCGGUAGUCCUAGCCGUAAACGAUGAACACUAGCUUCUCGGGAGCAAUCUUGGGAGGCGUAAGCUAACGCGUUAAGUGUUCCGCCUGGGUAGUACGGUCGCAAGGCUAAAACUCAAAGGAAUUGACGGGGGAGCGCACAACCAGUGGAGCAUGUGGUUUAAUUCGAUACGAAGCGAAGGACCUUACCUGGGUUUGACAUGUAUCUGCACGCCUAGCGAAAGCUAGGAAGCCUUCGAGGGUGAUACACAGGUGUUGCAUGGCUGUCGUCAGCUCGUGUCGUGAGACGUCUGCUUAAGUGCAGUAACGAGCGCAACCCUUGCCGUGUGUUGAAUAUUCACACGGGACUGCCUUACAGCAAGUAGGGAGGAAGGAGAGGACGACGUCAAGUCAGCAUGACCCUUACAUCCAGGGCAACACACAUCCUACAAUGGGAAAGAUAAUAGGUUGCGACCCAGCAAUGGUGAGCUAAUCCCCAAACUUUCCCUCAGUUCGAAUUGGGGGCUGAAAUUCGCCCCCAUGAAGUCGGAAUUGGUAGUAAUCGCAGGUCAGCAGACUGCGGUGAAUACGUUCUCGCUCCUUGUACACACUGCCCGUCAAGCCAGCAAAGUCGGCAGAUCCCGAAGCGGAUGUCCCUAACCAAGUUUACUUGGGAGGGCUCUUCUAAGGAUAGGUCGGCGAUGAGGACUAAGUCGUAACAAGGU